Molecule: ribosomal RNA, 1270 nt
Filed under: Salmonella enterica
Lineage: Bacteria; Pseudomonadati; Pseudomonadota; Gammaproteobacteria; Enterobacterales; Enterobacteriaceae
Description: partial 23S ribosomal RNA
Rfam family: Bacterial large subunit ribosomal RNA
Source: RNAcentral
CCAAGGCGCUUGAGAGAACUCGGGUGAAGGAACUAGGCAAAAUGGUGCCGUAACUUCGGGAGAAGGCACGCUGACACGUAGGUGAAGUGAUUUACUCAUGGAGCUGAAGUCAGUCGAAGAUACCAGCUGGCUGCAACUGUUUAUUAAAAACACAGCACUGUGCAAACACGAAAGUGGACGUAUACGGUGUGACGCCUGCCCGGUGCCGGAAGGUUAAUUGAUGGGGUCAGCGCAAGCGAAGCUCCUGAUCGAAGCCCCGGUAAACGGCGGCCGUAACUAUAACGGUCCUAAGGUAGCGAAAUUCCUUGUCGGGUAAGUUCCGACCUGCACGAAUGGCGUAAUGAUGGCCAGGCUGUCUCCACCCGAGACUCAGUGAAAUUGAACUCGCUGUGAAGAUGCAGUGUACCCGCGGCAAGACGGAAAGACCCCGUGAACCUUUACUAUAGCUUGACACUGAACAUUGAGCCUUGAUGUGUAGGAUAGGUGGGAGGCUUUGAAGUGUGGACGCCAGUCUGCAUGGAGCCGACCUUGAAAUACCACCCUUUAAUGUUUGAUGUUCUAACGUGGACCCGUGAUCCGGGUUGCGGACAGUGUCUGGUGGGUAGUUUGACUGGGGCGGUCUCCUCCUAAAGAGUAACGGAGGAGCACGAAGGUUGGCUAAUCCUGGUCGGACAUCAGGAGGUUAGUGCAAUGGCAUAAGCCAGCUUGACUGCGAGCGUGACGGCGCGAGCAGGUGCGAAAGCAGGUCAUAGUGAUCCGGUGGUUCUGAAUGGAAGGGCCAUCGCUCAACGGAUAAAAGGUACUCCGGGGAUAACAGGCUGAUACCGCCCAAGAGUUCAUAUCGACGGCGGUGUUUGGCACCUCGAUGUCGGCUCAUCACAUCCUGGGGCUGAAGUAGGUCCCAAGGGUAUGGCUGUUCGCCAUUUAAAGUGGUACGCGAGCUGGGUUUAGAACGUCGUGAGACAGUUCGGUCCCUAUCUGCCGUGGGCGCUGGAGAACUGAGGGGGGCUGCUCCUAGUACGAGAGGACCGGAGUGGACGCAUCACUGGUGUUCGGGUUGUCAUGCCAAUGGCACUGCCCGGUAGCUAAAUGCGGAAGAGAUAAGUGCUGAAAGCAUCUAAGCACGAAACUUGCCCCGAGAUGAGUUCUCCCUGAGACUUUAGGUCUCCUGAAGGAACGUUGAAGACGACGACGUUGAUAGGCCGGGUGUGUAAGCGCAGCGAUGCGUUGAGCUAACCGGUACUAAUGAACCGUGAGGCUUAACCUUACA